AGAGUUUGAUCAUGGCUCAGAAUCAACGCUGGCGGCGCGCCUAACACAUGCAAGUCGAACGAGAAAGCAGGAGCAAUCUUGUGAGUAAAGUUGCGUACGGGUGAGUAACACGUGGAUUAUCUACCCUCUUGUGGGGGAUAACCCUGGGAAACCGGGGCUAAUACCGCAUAAGCUCGAGAGAGGAAAGCAGCAAUGCGCAGGAGGAGGAGUCCGCGGCCGAUUAGCUAGUUGGUAGGGUAAAAGCCUACCAAGGCUACGAUCGGUAGCCGGCCUGAGAGGGCACACGGCCACACUGGCACUGAAACACGGGCCAGACUCCUACGGGAGGCAGCAGUGGGGAAUCUUGCACAAUGGGGGCAACCCUGAUGCAGCGACGCCGCGUGAGCGAUGAAGCCCUUCGGGGUGUAAAGCUCUUUCGGCAGGGAAGAUUAUGACGGUACCUGCAGAAGCAGCUGCGGCUAACUACGUGCCAGCAGCCGCGGUAAUACGUAGGCAGCAAGCGUUGUUCGGAGUUACUGGGCGUAAAGGGUGUGUAGGCGGUUCUCUAAGUCUGGUGUGAAAUCUCCCGGCUCAACUGGGAGGGUGCGCCGAAAACUGGAGGACUAGAGUGCGGGAUGGGAGAGUGGAAUUCCUGGUGUAGCGGUGAAAUGCGUAGAUAUCAGGAGGAACACCUGUGGUGUAGACGGCUCUCUGGACCGCAACUGACGCUGAGACACGAAAGCGUGGGUAGCAAACAGGAUUAGAUACCCUAGUAGUCC
This 758-nucleotide ribosomal RNA is filed under the name uncultured bacterium. RNAcentral describes it as "bacterial SSU rRNA". It matches the Rfam family "Bacterial small subunit ribosomal RNA", at positions 8 to 796 of the family's 1533-position model. The record is from RNAcentral.